Molecule: ribosomal RNA, 541 nt
Filed under: uncultured bacterium
Lineage: Bacteria
Description: bacterial SSU rRNA
Rfam family: Bacterial small subunit ribosomal RNA
Source: RNAcentral
AGUGAGGAAUAUUGGACAAUGGGCGCAAGCCUGAUCCAGCCAUGCCGCGUGCAGGAAGAAGCAUCUAUGGUGUGUAAACUGCUUUUGUACGGGAAGAAACACUCCUUCGUGAAGGAGCUUGACGGUACCGUAAGAAUAAGGAUCGGCUAACUCCAUGCCAGCAGCCGCGGUAAUACGGAGGAUCCAAGCGUUAUCCGGAAUCAUUGGGUUUAAAGGGUCCGUAGGCGGUUUGGUAAGUCAGUGGUGAAAGCCCGCAGCUCAACUGUGGAACGGCCAUUGAUACUGCCAGACUUGAAUUACAAGGAAGUAACUAGAAUAUGUAGUGUAGCGGUGAAAUGCUUAGAUAUUACAUGGAAUACCAAUUGCGAAGGCAGGUUACUACUUGUGGAUUGACGCUGAUGGACGAAAGCGUGGGGAGCGAACAGGAUUAGAUACCCUGGUAGUCCACGCCGUAAACGAUGGAUACUAGCUGUUGGGGGCAACUUCAGUGGCUAAGCGAAAGUGAUAAGUAUCCCACCUGGGGAGUACGUUCGCAAGAAUG